UGGAGGCAGCAGUAAGGAAUUUUGGACAAUGGGGGCAACCCUGAUCCAGCAAUGCCGCGUGAGUGAAGAAGGCCUUCGGGUUGUAAAGCUCUUUUGUUCGGGAAGAAACGGUUCAGGCUAAUAUCCUGAACUAAUGACGGUACCGGAAGAAUAAGCACCGGCUAACUACGUGCCAGCAGCCGCGGUAAUACGUAGGGUGCAAGCGUUAAUCGGAAUUACUGGGCGUAAAGCGUGCGCAGGCGGUUGUGCAAGACAGAUGUGAAAUCCCCGGGCUUAACCUGGGAAUUGCAUUUGUGACUGCACGGCUAGAGUGUGUCAGAGGGGGGUAGAAUUCCACGUGUAGCAGUGAAAUGCGUAGAUAUGUGGAGGAAUACCGAUGGCGAAGGCAGCCCCCUGGGAUAACACUGACGCUCAUGCACGAAAGCGUGGGGAGCAAACAGGAUUAGAUACCCCGGU
This 456-nucleotide ribosomal RNA is filed under the name uncultured bacterium. RNAcentral's name for it is "bacterial SSU rRNA". It matches the Rfam family "Bacterial small subunit ribosomal RNA", at positions 343 to 791 of the family's 1533-position model. The record is from RNAcentral.